RNAcentral lists this ribosomal RNA (713 nucleotides) under Pseudomonas fluorescens. RNAcentral describes it as "bacterial SSU rRNA". It matches the Rfam family "Bacterial small subunit ribosomal RNA", at positions 61 to 769 of the family's 1533-position model. The record is from RNAcentral. Lineage: Bacteria; Pseudomonadati; Pseudomonadota; Gammaproteobacteria; Pseudomonadales; Pseudomonadaceae.
GUCGAGCGGUAGAGAGAAGCUUGCUUCUCUUGAGAGCGGCGGACGGGUGAGUAAUGCCUAGGAAUCUGCCUGGUAGUGGGGGAUAACGUUCGGAAACGGACGCUAAUACCGCAUACGUCCUACGGGAGAAAGCAGGGGACCUUCGGGCCUUGCGCUAUCAGAUGAGCCUAGGUCGGAUUAGCUAGUUGGUGAGGUAAUGGCUCACCAAGGCGACGAUCCGUAACUGGUCUGAGAGGAUGAUCAGUCACACUGGAACUGAGACACGGUCCAGACUCCUACGGGAGGCAGCAGUGGGGAAUAUUGGACAAUGGGCGAAAGCCUGAUCCAGCCAUGCCGCGUGUGUGAAGAAGGUCUUCGGAUUGUAAAGCACUUUAAGUUGGGAGGAAGGGCAUUAACCUAAUACGUUAGUGUUUUGACGUUACCGACAGAAUAAGCACCGGCUAACUCUGUGCCAGCAGCCGCGGUAAUACAGAGGGUGCAAGCGUUAAUCGGAAUUACUGGGCGUAAAGCGCGCGUAGGUGGUUUGUUAAGUUGGAUGUGAAAUCCCCGGGCUCAACCUGGGAACUGCAUUCAAAACUGACUGACUAGAGUAUGGUAGAGGGUGGUGGAAUUUCCUGUGUAGCGGUGAAAUGCGUAGAUAUAGGAAGGAACACCAGUGGCGAAGGCGACCACCUGGACUAAUACUGACACUGAGGUGCGAAAACGUGGGGAGC